ACCUGGGACCAUCCGAGAGGCACACGAGGUGGAGAGUGGACGGGUGCCCGGCGCCACCGCCUCUCCCCGAGGGCGCGUACUGAGCAGGAUGUCAGACAAGCUCAAGGAACGCAGAAGAACUCCGGUUUCCCAUAAAGUGAUAGAAAAGAGAAGGAGGGAUCGAAUCAACCGCUGCUUGAAUGAGCUGGGCAAAACGGUGCCCAUGGCCUUGGCAAAGCAGAGUUCCGGGAAGCUGGAGAAGGCGGAGAUCCUGGAGAUGACGGUUCAGUACCUGAGAGCCCUGCACUCCGCCGAUUUUCCCCGGGGAAGGGAAAAAG
Long non-coding RNA from Dipodomys ordii (Ord's kangaroo rat), 317 nucleotides. RefSeq lists it as uncharacterized. The record is from RefSeq and is a predicted model, not a curated record. NCBI's taxonomy places the organism in Eukaryota, Metazoa, Chordata, Mammalia, Rodentia, Heteromyidae. The transcript has 3 exons.